GUCUCAGUACAGACUGUAAUAAAGUGAAACCGCAAAAGGCUCAGUAAACCAGUUUUAAUUUACUUGAGUAAACUUGACUGUCUUUGGAUAACUGUGGUAAUUCUAGAGCUAAUACAUGCAACAAAGCCCUGACUUUCACGGAAAGGGCGCUUUUAUUAGAUCAAGACCAUUCGUCAGGCUUGUCCUGGCGUCUGCUUGAUGAACCUAGAUAACACAUCAGAUCGUAUGGUCUUUGAACCGACGACUUAUCUUUCAAAUGCCUGACUUAUCAACUGUCGAUGGUAGACUCUGCGUCUACCAUGGCUCCUACGGGUGACGGGGAAUCAGGGUUCGAUUCCGGAGAGGGAGCCUGAGAAACGGCUACCACAUCCAAGGAAGGCAGCAGGCACGCAAAUUACCCACUCCCGGCACGGGGAGGUAGUGACAAAAAAUAACGAUACGGGACUCAUAUGAGGCCCCGUAAUCGGAAUGAGUACACUUUAAAUCCUUUAACAAGGAUCCAUUGGAGGGCAAGUCUGGUGCCAGCAGCCGCGGUAAUUCCAGCUCCAAUAGCGUAUAUUAAAGUUGUUGCGGUUAAAAAGCUCGUAGUUGGUUCUGCGUGCUGCGCUGUCGGUACACCGUUUGUCGGUGACACUGGCAUGUCGUUGCAUGUCCUGUCGGUGGUGACCGGGGUCGCCGUGUGCGAAUGGCUUCCAUGAGCACCAACGGUUUCUCCGGUUGCCGACUAUAUCCUACCGCGGUGCUCUUCAUUGAGUGUCGAGGUAGGCCGACACGUUCACUUUGAACAAAUUAGAGUGCUUAAAGCAGGCCAAAAUCUCUGCCUGAAUAGUGGUGCAUGGAAUGAUGGAACAGGACCUUGGUUCUAUUUUAUUGGUUUUCGGAACACAAGGUAAUGAUCAAUGUGGACAGGCGGGGGCAUUCGUAUUGCGACGUUAGAGGUGAAAUUCUUGGAUCGUCGCAAGACGCACUAGAGCGAAAGCAUUUGCCAAGUAUGUCUUAAUUGAUCAAGAACGAAAGUUAGAGGUUCGAAGGCGAUCAGAUACCGCCCUAGUUCUAACCAUAAACGAUGCCAGCCAGCGAUCCGCCGAUGUUCCUCCGAUGACUCGGCGGGGAGCUUUCCCCGGGAAACCAAAGCUUUUGGGUUCCGGGGGAAGUAUGGUUGCAAAGCUGAAACUUAAAGGAAUUGACGGAAGGGCACCACCAGGAGUGGAGCCUGCGGCUUAAUUUGACUCAACACGGGAAACCUCACCAGGUCAGGACAUUGGAAGGAUUGACAGAUUGAUAGCUCUUUCUUGAUUCAGUGGGUAGUGGUGCAUGGCCGUUCUUAGUUCGUGGAUCGAUUUGUCUGGUUAAUUCCGAUAACGAACGAGACUCUAGCCUAUUAACUAGGCGUUUCUGGUAUCGUAGCUACCGGCGAUACAUAUUCUUCUUAAGGGGACAGGCGGCUUAUAGCCGUACGAGAUUGAGCAAUAACAGGUCUGUGAUGCCCUUAGAUGUCCUGGGCCGCACGCGCGCUACACUGAAGGAAUCAGCGUGUGCAUUCCCUUGGCCGAAAGGUCCGGGUAACCCGCUGAACCUCCUUCGUGCUAGGAAUUGGGGCUUGCAAUUGUUCCCCAUGAACGAGGAAUUCCCAGUAAGCGCGAGUCAUAAGCUCGCGUUGAUUACGUCCCUGCCCUUUGUGCACACCGCCCGUCGCUACUACUGAUUGAAUAAUUUAGUGAGGUCUUCGGACUGGUGGUAAGCUUUACCGACUUCGUUGGUCUUGCUGAACGCUGGAAAGAUGACCAAACUUGAUUA
RNAcentral lists this ribosomal RNA (1797 nucleotides) under Arbela tabida. RNAcentral's name for it is "SSU rRNA". It matches the Rfam family "Eukaryotic small subunit ribosomal RNA". The record is from RNAcentral. Lineage: Eukaryota; Metazoa; Arthropoda; Insecta; Hemiptera; Nabidae.